CAGUCACACACUCAGUUACAGACACAGUCACACACUCAGUUACAGACAGACAGUCACACACUCAGUUACAGACAGACAGUCACACACUCAGUUACAGGCAGACAGUCACACACAGUCACAGGCAGACAGUCACACAUACACAUUUCCUCUGUGCGGCCAGUUUAUCAGCUGUUUGUUUGAGUGAGCUGUACUGGCCGCACGGCACC
Molecule: non-coding RNA, 206 nt
Organism: Pelobates cultripes (western spadefoot toad)
Lineage: Eukaryota; Metazoa; Chordata; Amphibia; Anura; Pelobatidae
Source: the annotation of a GenBank genome assembly